CCUACGGGUGGCAGCAGUAGGGAAUUUUGCGCAAUGGGCGAAAGCCUGACGCAGCAACGCCGCGUGAUCGAGACGCCCUUCGGGGUGUAAAGAUCUGUCAGUGGGGACGAAACUUGACGGUACCCACAGAGGAAGCACCGGCUAACUCCGUGCCAGCAGCGGCGGUAAUACGGGGGGUGCAAGCGUUGUCCGGAAUCAUUGGGCGGAAAGAGUUCGUAGGCGGCACGUAAAGGCUGUAUUUAAAGGCCGGGGCUCAACUUCUGUACGGACCUGGAUAGUUGCGAGCUAGAAUGCGGUAGAGGUAAAGGGAAUUCCUGGUGUAGCGGUGAAAUGCUUAGAUAUCAGGAGGAACAUCAGUGGCGUAAGCGCUUUACUGGACCGUAAUUGACGCUGAGGAACGAAAGCCAGGGUAGCAAAUGGGAUUAGAUACCCCAGUAGUC
This 440-nucleotide ribosomal RNA is filed under the name uncultured bacterium. RNAcentral's name for it is "partial 16S ribosomal RNA". It matches the Rfam family "Bacterial small subunit ribosomal RNA", at positions 338 to 795 of the family's 1533-position model. The record is from RNAcentral.